Long non-coding RNA from Myxocyprinus asiaticus (Chinese sucker), 1171 nucleotides. RefSeq lists it as uncharacterized. Lineage: Eukaryota; Metazoa; Chordata; Actinopteri; Cypriniformes; Catostomidae. The record is from RefSeq and is a predicted model, not a curated record. The transcript is spliced from 7 exons.
GGUUAGUAUACACUGCAAAGAUUGUGCUGUCAUGCGUCUGCAAUGCAUGGGUCAUUACCCACUGGUGCUGUGAUUACUGGAUGAAUCGGCCAUCUAACUGUAUUAUGUCUUUCUUUUUUGUCUUUAGCCUCCUCGUUCAGCCCAUCCUGUAGUGCAGUUUUCCUGCGUCGACUGUGAGCCUAUGGUUAUCGACAAGCUGCCUUUUGACAAAUACGAGCUGGAGCCAUCACCACUAAUGCAGUUCAUUUUGGAAAGGAAAUCUCCUCACAUGUGCUGGCAGUCCGGUAGGUGGCAGUAAUGAACCUUCAAGCUGGUUUGCCAACCGCCAAUCAAACCAAAAGAAGAAGAAGAGCGCGCUCCGACUCCACUGUUUACAGAGCUGACUCUGAGCUGACGGUGGUUCUGCAGACAGUGUGGAGUUAAGUGGUGUCUUCACGACUCCUUGCACAGUAUUCCAGUGGGGCAGAUGGGAAAUUAUCAGGAGUAUCUGAAGAUGAUGCCAUCACCUCUGCAUGAGAUAGAUCCGGAUCAGCCCAAAUGACUGUACACAUUCGGCAACCCAUUCAAACAGGUCAAGAAGGAAUGAUGAUAGAUGAAGCAGAUGAGUUUGUAACAGGCCCACAAAAUAAGAAGCGGGGGAACACAGGUGAUCCAAUCUCGGGCACUGCCCUGAAGAGGCAGAGGAGCAUGCCAGCCCCAAACACCUCCAAUAAUAACCAAUCAUGUACUGGGCAAGGGCCCUUUAGGUACACAGAGUCAGCAAGGAAUCAUUAAACCCAUCCCACUCCACAAAGGAAUUGAGGGGAACAGUGUAGUGGCCACAGAAAGUAAUGGAGAGCAAGUGCCGGGUGGGGAGCCUGGAGAUGGGUGGCCCGGAGUAGUAGAUGGAGUAGAAGGACCUGCACCCCCGGACAAGAGGGAAGAGGAUGGGGCACCAGACGAUUAUGAGACUAUAUUCAGGUUACUGGAGUAGGUAAAGGGACCUGCAUCAGUGCAGAGAUACUUUAUUCAUCAUGCCAUCAAAAAGGAAGCCAGGUUUAAGAAGCAUGUGCUGAUCCAGAAACUUGAGACUGCUCUUGAGGAGAUAGAAGACAGACAGCUGCUGCCUGCACAGCUCAACAGCAUCCACAGCAGAUAGUGAACCAUCACAGCUUACUGCUGAGAAGCACAA